GGCUUGAUAGUGUAGAGGUUUAACAUACGUGCUUUGGGUGCACGUGGCCCGGGUUCGAAUCCCGGUCAAGCCC
This 73-nucleotide transfer RNA is filed under the name Tieghemiomyces parasiticus. It matches the Rfam family "tRNA". From Rfam's summary of the family: Transfer RNA (tRNA) molecules are approximately 80 nucleotides in length. Their secondary structure includes four short double-helical elements and three loops (D, anti-codon, and T loops). Lineage: Eukaryota; Fungi; Kickxellomycota; Dimargaritomycetes; Dimargaritales; Dimargaritaceae. The record is from Rfam by way of RNAcentral.